UGGGGAAUAUUGCACAAUGGGCGAAAGCCUGAUGCAGCAACGCCGCGUGAGUGAUGAAGGUCUUCGGAUUGUAAAGCUCUGUCUUUUGGGACGAUAAUGACGGUACCAAAGGAGGAAGCCACGGCUAACUACGUGCCAGCAGCCGCGGUAAUACGUAGGUGGCGAGCGUUGUCCGGAUUUACUGGGCGUAAAGGGUGCGUAGGCGGAUGUUUAAGUGAGAUGUGAAAUACCCGGGCUUAACUUGGGUGCUGCAUUUCAAACUGGAUAUCUAGAGUGCAGGAGAGGAGAAUGGAAUUCCUAGUGUAGCCGUGAAAUGCGUAGAGAUUAGGAAGAACACCAGUGGCGAAGGCGAUUCUCUGGACUGUAACUGACGCUGAGGCACGAAAGCGUGGGUAGCAAACAGGAUUAGAUACCCUGGUAGUCCACGCCGUAAACGAUGAGUACUAGGUGUAGGAGGUAUCGACCCCUUCUGUGCCGCAGUAAACACAUUAAGUACUCCGCCUGGGAAGUACGAUCGCAAGAUUAAAAC
RNAcentral lists this ribosomal RNA (529 nucleotides) under uncultured bacterium. RNAcentral's name for it is "partial 16S ribosomal RNA". It matches the Rfam family "Bacterial small subunit ribosomal RNA", at positions 355 to 900 of the family's 1533-position model. The record is from RNAcentral.